Molecule: ribosomal RNA, 225 nt
Filed under: uncultured bacterium
Lineage: Bacteria
Description: partial 16S ribosomal RNA
Rfam family: Bacterial small subunit ribosomal RNA
Source: RNAcentral
CGGAACACGUACGCAACCUUCCUUUAACUGGAGGAUAGCCCCUCGAAAGAGGGAUUAAUACUCCGUAACAUAAUGAUAAGGCAUCUUAUUAUUAUUAUAGCUCCGGCGGUUAAAGAUGGGCGUGCGGCUGAUUAGGUAGUUGGCAGGGUAACGGCCUACCAAGCCUACGAUCAGUAGCUGAUGUGAGAGCAUGAUCAGCCACACGGGCACUGAGACACGGGCCCG